Non-coding RNA from Alligator sinensis (Chinese alligator), 705 nucleotides. Lineage: Eukaryota; Metazoa; Chordata; Crocodylia; Alligatoridae. The record is from the annotation of a RefSeq genome assembly.
UUUGGUGUCAGUCAGUGCAGAAGCAGCAAGAUGAUCUCUCACAUUCAGCUGCUCUGGCUCUUCAUGUUCUGGCUUCAUGGCUCCAGCGGAGACAUCCUCAUCACUCAGACUCCAAAGUCCGUGGCAGUGUCUCCAGGGGACACAGUCACCAUUAAGUGCAAAGCCAGUUCCAGUGUUAGCAGCAGCAAUAUGCACUUCUACCAGCAGAAACCAGGGCAGGCUCCUAAGCUCCUGCUCUAUAGCACAAGCAGCCGCCCGUCUGGGAUCCCCGCCCGGUUUAGUGGCAGUGGGUCUGGCACCGACUACACUUUCACCAUCAGCCACAUGGAAGCUGGUGAUGCUGGAGAUUAUUACUGUCAGCAGGGUAAUAGCUGGCCUCUCACAGUGAUACAGAGCAGCUGUAGUGGCGACAUUGUGAUGACUCAGACUGCAGAGUCCCUGACCGUGUCUCCAGGACAAACAGCCACCAUGAACUGCAAAGCUGUUUCAUACUGUGGUUCUAGCAUAGCCUGGUACCAACAGAAGUCAGGGCAACCUCUCAAGCUCCUUCUCUACAGCACCAACACCCGUCCAUCUGGGAUCCCAGACCGGUUCAGUGGCCCUAGUUUGGGCAGUGACUGCACGCCCGCUAUGAGCCAGGUUGAAGCAGGCAAUGCUGGAGACUAUUACUGUCAGCAGCAUGGCACCUACCCUCUCACACAGUAA